GGAUGUGCUUUAUUGCUAAAGCACAUGCUUUGCAUGCAGAAGGUCCCAGGUUCAAUCCCUGGAAUCUCCA
Phrynosoma platyrhinos (Desert horned lizard) is the source of this 70-nucleotide non-coding RNA. Lineage: Eukaryota; Metazoa; Chordata; Lepidosauria; Squamata; Phrynosomatidae. The record is from the annotation of a GenBank genome assembly.